Molecule: ribosomal RNA, 484 nt
Filed under: uncultured bacterium
Lineage: Bacteria
Description: partial 16S ribosomal RNA
Rfam family: Bacterial small subunit ribosomal RNA
Source: RNAcentral
AUCGAACGCUGGCGGCAGGCCUAACACAUGCAAGUCGAGCGGAUGAAGUGUGCUUUCUCCUGGUACCCGAGGCGGACGGGGGUGUAAUGCCGAGGAAUAUGCCUAGUUGAGCUGGAUAACGUCGGGAAAUAGGCGCUAAUACCGCAUACGACUUCAGCAUGAUAUUGGUGAUUCUUUGGACCUCACGCGAACAGUUCAAUCGAGCUCGGAUUAGAUGGUCGGGCGGUUAAAGACCUACUAAGGGGAGUAUCCGUAACUGGUCUGAGAGGAUGAUCAGCCACACUGGAACGGGAACACGCUCCAGACUCCUACGGGAGGCAGCAGUGGGGAAUAUUGGACAAUGAGCGAAAGCCGGAUCCAGCCAGGCCGCGUGUGUGAAGAAGGUCUUCGGAUUGUAAAGCACGUUGAGUUGGGAGGAAGGGCAGUAAGUUAAUACCUUGCUGUUUUGACGUUACCAACAGAAUAAGCACCGGCUAACUUCGUG